This 116-nucleotide ribosomal RNA is filed under the name uncultured bacterium. RNAcentral's name for it is "partial 16S ribosomal RNA". It matches the Rfam family "Bacterial small subunit ribosomal RNA", at positions 1388 to 1500 of the family's 1533-position model. The record is from RNAcentral.
CACCGCCCGUCACGCCAUGGGAGUUGGUUUCACCCGAAGAUGGUGCGCUAACCCGCAAGGGAGGCAGCCAGCCACGGUGGGAUCAGCGACUGGGGUGAAGUCGUAACAAAGGUACC